Molecule: ribosomal RNA, 215 nt
Filed under: uncultured Prevotella sp.
Lineage: Bacteria; Pseudomonadati; Bacteroidota; Bacteroidia; Bacteroidales; Prevotellaceae
Description: partial 16S ribosomal RNA
Rfam family: Bacterial small subunit ribosomal RNA
Source: RNAcentral
GUAACCCACGCGAAAGUUAGGACUAAUACCUUAUGUAUUCGUUUGAUCUCAUGAGAUUACGAAUAAAGAUUUAUCGGUUAUGGAUGGGGAUGCGUCUGAUUAGCUUGUUGGCGGGGUAACGGCCCACCAAGGCAACGAUCAGUAGGGGUUCUGAGAGGAAGGUCCCCCACAUUGGAACUGAGACACGGUCCAAACUCCUACGGGAGGCAGCAGCC